AAAGGAAUUGACGGGGGCCCGCACAAGCGGUGGAGCAUGUGGUUUAAUUCGAUGCAACGCGAAGAACCUUACCUGCCCUUGACAUAUAGAGGAGUCUUUAGAGAUAGAGAUGUGCCGAGAGGAACUCUAAUACAGGUGCUGCAUGGCUGUCGUCAGCUCGUGUCGUGAGAUGUUGGGUUAAGUCCCGUAACGAGCGCAACCCUUAUACUUAGUUGCCAACAGGUGAUGCUGGGGACUCUAGGUAGACUGCCGGUGUUAAACCGGAGGAAGGCGGGGAUGAUGUCAAGUCAUCAUGGCCCUUACGGGCAGGGCUACACACGUGCUACAAUGGCUAGUACAGAGGGCGGCGAAGUCGUGAGAUGGAGCAAAUCCUUAAAAGCUAGUCGUAGUCCGGAUUGAAGUCUGCAACUCGACUUCAUGAAGUCGGAAUCGCUAGUAAUCGCAAAUCAGCAUGUUGCGGUGAAUACGUUCCCGGGCCUUGUACACACCGCCCGUCACACCAUGGGAGUGUAUUGCACCAGAAGCAGAUAGUCUAACCGUAAGGGGGACGUUUGCCACGGUGUGGUCCAUGACUGGGGUGAAGUCGUAACAAGGUAGCCGUAGGGGAACCUGCGGCUGGAUCACCUCCUUAAAA
RNAcentral lists this ribosomal RNA (634 nucleotides) under Bacteroidota bacterium. RNAcentral describes it as "bacterial SSU rRNA". It matches the Rfam family "Bacterial small subunit ribosomal RNA", at positions 903 to 1533 of the family's 1533-position model. Lineage: Bacteria; Pseudomonadati; Bacteroidota. The record is from RNAcentral.